GCUGGUGUGAAAUAUUUGAAUUAUGCUGCUAAGUAUUUCUAAACAUAAAUAAAUAUUAAGAAGAUAAAGAAAAAAUACUACAAUGUUGCUUUUAUUAAGCAAGAUUAUAUAAGAGAGAUAAGAUAAUGAACAUUAAACUUUUUCAGAUGAAUAUGUGGCCAGCCUCCAUCUUCCCACAUUUGAUGCUCACCUCACAGAGCUCAGUGAUGAACAGGCCAAGUAUAUGGGCUUAAACAAGGCUGGACCUUUCAAGCCUAAUUACUACAGGUACUAAGUGAUAAUAGGCUGAGGUACAAGAGAUUGCAAUCUACAUGGACUGUGUGACAGGGUCAGAGAUAUUGAGUCCACAUGAUAAUUUUUCAUACAUACUUUUGUUGUUAUAUCAAGAACUGGUUGUAAUAUAGCAUCAUACUGUUCCCAUUGUCUCAGACUUUGUCCAUUUAAUAAGUUUAUAUUCUGAAUUGUCAUCUGAACUUAAAAAAAAAAGUUUGCUGCAUCUACAGCAAAUCCCUGUGUACCUGUUAGCAAACAAAGUAUGAACAAAUGUACAUGUCUGUUGAAAGAGCCAAUAAGAGUACCUGAAAACAGUAACUGCCAAUCAUCUCAAGAGUUGUGUUGAGGUACUAAGAUGAUAUUUCAGAAUGUGAAUGUAAUGUCCAGUAAUGUAAGUAGCUUCCUAUUGACCAUCACAAUAGUAGGUGAACCAUAUUUGAAAGUACAUAUCUGUUCAAUCUCUGUUGUUUGUUGCAGAAAUGGUGGUGAGGUUCUGUAUAAUUUUUAUUGAGAUCUUCUUCUUUGCAAGAUUGUUAUCUACUACUGAAAAGUUGCUUGAACUCUCAAUUUGAUUUGUGUUAUUAUAAUAUGUAAGUGAUUAGUAAUAUAUAUCUUUUACAAUUUUUAUUUAAUGAAUAAUGUUCUGCCAUUAUUGAAAACAAAAAUAAAAGUUGAUUUGUAUUUGGAUAAGAAUUAAAUCUUUUAAAAAUGUGAAAGAAAAUAUAUUUGUGAUUUUUGUAUGCGUUCAUCAAUAUUGAAAGGUAAUUGCCAUGUAAAGAUAAGCAUGAAGAUAGUCGGCAGAAAUGCUAUCGUGUUGGAGAAUAUUUUUAAGAACAUAUAGUAGUUUGAAUGUCUGUUUAGACAAAAAUGGUUCUACACAUCUCAACAGCCAGGGGAAAAAAAAACUUGCGUAAAUAUGAUGAUUAUGUAUAAAACAUAUUUACCAGGUUUAUAUUUAGGUUUGGACAAUGAGAGUAACUGCAAUGGUCUGAAGAGUAAAGUGAAAGGUAGCAGAGGUGCUUGGUUGCAUUCAUGUGAACCAUCGAUAACACUGAAACCUUCCUGUCAGGGUUUCCUUUCCUUGAGCUAGGUAGAGGUUGAGUCAUUGGAAAGAGCUGGAUAUUUGAAGGACAUUGUUAUAUAGCUCAUAGGCCAUGUUUGUUGUAGAAUCUGCCUGUUUUGUCUGUGAUAGAUUUAGAAGACAGUACCAGGUGCAGAGUGUAACUGAUCAAUAUAACCACCAAGAGCAUGCAAUUUUAUCAAACUGGAGGUCAAUCUGGCUGCAUGAGAAGAAGAGUAACUCAACGUGAUUUUUAUUGUGUAUAAUAUAAUAUCUUGCUAGCACUUGUUUGAUGGUCUUUGGAGUAUUGCAGGAUGGGUAGCAGUCAGGUUGA
RNAcentral lists this long non-coding RNA (1667 nucleotides) under Penaeus japonicus. RNAcentral describes it as "uncharacterized LOC122248776". Lineage: Eukaryota; Metazoa; Arthropoda; Malacostraca; Decapoda; Penaeidae. The record is from RNAcentral.